CCUACGGGAGGCAGCAGUGAGGAAUAUUGGUCAAUGGGCUUACGCCUGAACCAGCCAAGUCGCGUGAGGGAAGACUGCCCUAUGGGUUGUAAACCUCUUUUGUCAGGGAGCAACGCCGGCUACGUGUAGCCGGACUGAGAGUACCUGAAGAAAAAGCAUCGGCUAACUCCGUGCCAGCAGCCGCGGUAAUACGGAGGAUGCGAGCGUUAUCCGGAUUUAUUGGGUUUAAGGGGUGCGUAGGCGGAAUGCCAAGUCAGCGGUAAAAUCGCGGGGCUCAACCUCGCUCCGCCGUUGAAACUGGCGGUCUUGAGUGGGCUAGAAGUAUGCGGAAUGCGUGGUGUAGCGGUGAAAUGCAUAGAUAUCACGCAGAACUCCGAUUGCGAAGGCAGCAUACCGGCGCCCAACUGACGCUGAAGCACGAAAGCGUGGGUAUCGAACAGGAUUAGAUACCCGAGUAGUC
RNAcentral lists this ribosomal RNA (460 nucleotides) under uncultured bacterium. Its description in RNAcentral is "partial 16S ribosomal RNA". It matches the Rfam family "Bacterial small subunit ribosomal RNA", at positions 338 to 795 of the family's 1533-position model. The record is from RNAcentral.